AUUGAACGCUGGCGGCAGGCCUAACACAUGCAAGUCGAGCGGAUGAAGGGAGCUUGCUCCUGGAUUCAGCGGCGGACGGGUGAGUAAUGCCUAGGAAUCUGCCUGGUAGUGGGGGAUAACGUCCGGAAACGGGCGCUAAUACCGCAUACGUCCUGAGGGAGAAAGUGGGGGAUCUUCGGACCUCACGCUAUCAGAUGAGCCUAGGUCGGAUUAGCUAGUUGGUGGGGUAAAGGCCUACCAAGGCGACGAUCCGUAACUGGUCUGAGAGGAUGAUAAGUCACACUGGAACUGAGACACGGUCCAGACUCCUACGGGAGGCAGCAGUGGGGAAUAUUGGACAAUGGGCGAAAGCCUGAUCCAGCCAUGCCGCGUGUGUGAAGAAGGUCUUCGGAUUGUAAAGAACUUUAAGUUGGGAGGAAGGGCAGUAAGUUAAUACCUUGCUGUUUUGACGUUACCAACAGAAUAAGCACCGGCUAACUUCGUG
Molecule: ribosomal RNA, 484 nt
Filed under: uncultured bacterium
Lineage: Bacteria
Description: partial 16S ribosomal RNA
Rfam family: Bacterial small subunit ribosomal RNA
Source: RNAcentral